UGGGGAAUCUUGCGCAAUGCGCGAAAGCGUGACGCAGCAACGCCGCGUGGGGGAAGACGGCCUUCGGGUUGUAAACCCCUUUCAGGAGGGACGAAGGUUGGGCGGUGAAUAGCCGUUCCGACUGACGGUACCUCCACAAGAAGCCCCGGCUAACUACGUGCCAGCAGCCGCGGUAAUACGUAGGGGGCUAGCGUUGUCCGGAAUCAUUGGGCGUAAAGAGCGUGUAGGCGGUCCGGUAAGUCCGUUGUGAAAGUCAGGGGCUCAACCCUUGAAUGCCGGCGGAUACUGUCGGGCUAGAGUCCGGAAGAGGCAAGUGGAAUUCCCGGUGUAGCGGUGAAAUGCGCAGAUAUCGGGAGGAACACCUAUGGCGAAGGCAGCUUGCUGGGACGGUACUGACGCU
Molecule: ribosomal RNA, 400 nt
Filed under: uncultured bacterium
Lineage: Bacteria
Description: bacterial SSU rRNA
Rfam family: Bacterial small subunit ribosomal RNA
Source: RNAcentral